This 253-nucleotide ribosomal RNA is filed under the name uncultured bacterium. RNAcentral describes it as "partial 16S ribosomal RNA". It matches the Rfam family "Bacterial small subunit ribosomal RNA", at positions 524 to 776 of the family's 1533-position model. The record is from RNAcentral.
UACGUAGGGGGCAAGCGUUGUCCGGAUUUAUUGGGCGUAAAGAGCGUGUAGGCGGCUUUACAGGUCCGUUGUGAAAACUCGAGGCUCAACCUCGAGACGCCGGUGGAAACCGUAAUGCUAGAGUCCGGAAGAGGAGAGUGGAAUUCCUGGUGUAGCGGUGAAAUGCGCAGAUAUCAGGAGGAACACCGGUGGCGAAGGCGGGUCUCUGGGCCGAUACUGACGCUGAGGAGCGAAAGCAUGGGUAGCGAACAGG